GCCCUUAGCUCAGUUGGAUAGAGCAACGACCUUCUAAGUCGUGGGCCGCAGGUUCGAAUCCUGCAGGGC
Molecule: transfer RNA, 69 nt
Filed under: Escherichia coli
Lineage: Bacteria; Pseudomonadati; Pseudomonadota; Gammaproteobacteria; Enterobacterales; Enterobacteriaceae
Description: tRNA-Arg
Rfam family: tRNA
About the family: Transfer RNA (tRNA) molecules are approximately 80 nucleotides in length. Their secondary structure includes four short double-helical elements and three loops (D, anti-codon, and T loops).
Source: RNAcentral